CCAUCAGCAGCGCGCGGUAAUACGGAGGAUCCAAGCGUUAUCCGGAAUCAUUGGCUUUAAAGGGUCCGUAGGCGGUCUUAUAAGUCAGUGGUGAAAGCCCAUCGCUCAACGAUGGAACUGCCAUUGAUACUGUAGGACUUGAAUGCUUAGGAAGUAACUAGAAUAUGUAGUGUAGCGGUGAAAUGCUUAGAUAUUACAUGGAAUACCAAUUGCGAAGGCAGGUUACUACUAAGUGAUUGACGCUGAUGGACGAAAGCGUGGGGAGCGAACAGGAUUAGAUACCCUGGUAGUCCACGCCGUAAACGAUGGAUACUAGCUGUUCGGAGCAAUCUGAGUGGCUAAGCGAAAGUGAUAAGUAUCCCACCUGGGGAGUACGCACGCAAGUGUGAAACUCACA
This 397-nucleotide ribosomal RNA is filed under the name uncultured Flavobacteriaceae bacterium. Its description in RNAcentral is "bacterial SSU rRNA". It matches the Rfam family "Bacterial small subunit ribosomal RNA", at positions 503 to 905 of the family's 1533-position model. Lineage: Bacteria; Pseudomonadati; Bacteroidota; Flavobacteriia; Flavobacteriales; Flavobacteriaceae. The record is from RNAcentral.